UCAGGACGAACGCUGGCGGCGUGCUUAACACAUGCAAGUCGAACGAGAAUCUGCGGAAAGAGGAUUCGUCCAAUUGAAGCAGAGGACAGUGGCGGACGGGUGAGUAACGCGUGAGGAACCUGGCCUUUCAGAGGGGGACAACAGUUGGAAACGACCUGCUAAUACCGCAUGACACAUCGGGGUCGCAUGGCUCUGAUGUCAAAGAUUUAUCGCUGAAAGAUGGCCUCGCGUCUGAUUAGCUAGUUGGUGGGGUAACGGCCUACCAAGGCGACGAUCAGUAGCCGACCUGAGAGGGUGAUCGGCCACAUUGGAACUGAGACACGGUCCAAACUCCUACGGGAGGCAGCAGUGGGGAAUAUUGCACAAUGGGCGAAAGCCUGAUGCAGCAACGCCGCGUGAGCGAAGAAGGUCUUCGGAUCGUAAAGCUCUGUCCUUGGGGAAGAUAAUGACGGUACCCUUGGAGGAAGCCCCGGCUAACUACGUG
Molecule: ribosomal RNA, 484 nt
Filed under: uncultured bacterium
Lineage: Bacteria
Description: bacterial SSU rRNA
Rfam family: Bacterial small subunit ribosomal RNA
Source: RNAcentral